UAUAAGUAUGGAAAGAAAUUAUUGUAGAAUUUAAGCUAUAUAUUAAAGAGAUUUAUUUAUAUAAAUAGGUUUGCUAGCUGAUUGUGUAUAUACGCAGGCCAAUGCUUCUAAUUUCAUAGCAAGCUCGCUUGCUAUGAAAUAGGCAACCAGUAAUAUAAGCAAGUGUGUGCUAUUUAUAGCGCUAGCCUACAAACCUAUAAUUAUAUUAACUCUAAGAGAAAUUUAAUAAUAAACGAAGUGAAUUGAAAUAUCUUAGUAACUUUAGGAAAAGAAAUCAAAAGAGAUUCUAUGAUUAGCGUGAGCUAAAAUAGACUAGCCUAAAAAGUCAAAUGGUGGAUAAACUGUUUAAAUUAAAUGGGGAACCUUCCUCAAAGGCUAAAUAUAAUGUAUAAGCGAUAGUGGAAAGUACCGUGAGGGAACCAAAACAAAAACAGUGAUUUUAUAAGCAGUUCGGGAAAAUAAAAAAAAGUUAGAACGUACCUUUUGCAUAAUGGGUCACCAAGUUAACAUUAGAUGCGAGUAGGAGGCUUUGCCCAUACAUACGUAGUUAAACCGAGCGUUAAAAUAACGGUAAGUAUCUAAAGUUAGACCCGAAGCCUGGUGAUUUUACCAUAAUCAGGAUUAUAAAAGUCCGAACGGAAUAUUGUAGCAUAAAUAUCCGAAGAAUUAUGGUAGGUGUAGUGAAAGACAAUACUGACCAGGAUAGCUGGUUUUCUGCGAAACCUAUAACAGUAGGCAAUUUAAGUAUAAUAUCUUAGCAGGUACAGAAUUUAAUCUCAGACAAGACAUAAGGCUUAGCUUGCUAGCAAGUAAAGCUCAUGUUUUAUUUUGUACAAAUUGGGGGAUCAUGAAGAUUUUAUCAGUGAGUAUGUAGACUCGGAAUGGCAAAGAUAUAUCUUAAAUCAUCAGACAUAGAAUGAUAAGGUUGUAUGUCAAAAGGGAAACAGCCCAGAACAAGAGUUAAGGUUCCUAAAUUAUUAGUUGAGUGAAAUUAAGAAGGUUUUUAUUAAAGUCGACAAGGAGAUAGGCUUAGAAGCAGCCAUAAUUUUAUGACCUCGUAACAGAGCGCUUGUUAAGUUUUAAAAGCAUCGAAAAUUUAUCGGAUCUAAACAAUAUACCGAAACCUUGUCCAUAUUAUUUUAUAAUUAAAGCUUAAUUAUAAUUAAAUGGGGUAGCAGAACGUUGAGCUAAAUUAAGAUUUUUAUUUUUUAAAUGAAAUUAUAAUAAUUUAACUCAAGUGAUAAUGGUGACAUGAGUAACUAAAAGAAAAAAUAAAAUUUUUCCGCCUAAAGCUUAUGGAUGUAAUUAAGUAACGGCCUCUAAGUUUAUAUUAUCUAAAGAUUUAAACGAUGAGAUAAUCUUUUGUACUAAGGACGACAUUUUAAGUGAAAAAUGUACUGGAAAAAUAGUACUAAAUUAAUGGGUAUAGCUAAUUAGUUAGCUAUAGCUAUAAAUGAAAAGUAACCGUACCUAGAAUCUGAAACAAGUAAGCUAGUAGAGAAUACGAAGGCGUAAAUGAGCUAACAAUCAUAAAGGAACUCGGCAAAUUGACUACCGUAACUUCGGGAUAAGGAGAGCUCAUUAUUCUUGAUUAAUAUCAGGUAAAGAGGAAGAAGCAUGAAAUAGUGUUGUACGACUGUUUAAUUAAAACACAGCACUUUGCUGAAAGAUUAAAAAUCUAAGUAUAGAGUGUGAUGUCUGCCCGGUGCCGGCUGGUUAACAGAUAUAAUUAAAUAUACUAAUAUUUGAUGUAGACGGAAACCCCGGUUAAAGGCGGCCUUAACGUGAGGGUCCUAAGGUAGCGAAAUGCCUUGGCCGUUAAAUGCGGUCUUGCAUGAAUGAUGUAACGAUACAACAGCUGUCUCUAUGAUUGACUCAGUGAAAUUGGAAUAGCUGUGCAGAUACAGUUUACCUCUAGUUAGACGAGAAGACCCUAUGCAGCUUUACUGUCACUAAUUAUAGAGUAUGAUAAACAAUUUUCAGAUUAUAAGGUAAUUGACGGCUAGCUUGUUAAGCAAGCUAGCUCUAUGACAAUGAGAAUCCUUUAUUUUUUUUUCAUAUGAAUGAAUUGGUUUAGGAUUAUGAGUAGGUAGCGGCUUCUGCUACUUGGCGUAAGCAUUGCUUGCGUCAGGUGUCUGAAGUAUGCAUUCCAGCUCAUGCAUAGUAAAUCAACCUAAUUCAGCUUAUUUUCCUUUCUGCCAUAAGCGCAUAAUGAUAGAUUUAACUUAAAUUUUGAUUUAUGCCAGCUGCAGAAAUAGAUAAGUACCCUUGGCUAAGGAACUAUCGCUAGGGGACAGUUUAUGUGGGGCACAGACCCUGUAAAGAGUAAACAGGAGUGUCUAAUAAUUUAUAAUUAUUUUGUUUGCGAUUUAAGAUAGUGAAACUAUUUUUAAUCAUAUAAAAUUAUUUAUAUGUACAUUCGUUGUAUAUAUAUUUAAAAAAAGGUAGGAUUUUCACUAUAUAGAAAUUAGAGAUAAUAAAAAUAUUAAGAAUAUACGUUUCAGGUUGGGAGGGGGAAGCUCCUCCCUUUGAAAGGUAGCACUAAUAUUUUUUAGCUAUUAAGACAGGCUAUCAAGCUAGGCUCUAAUAGUUAUGUAAAUAAUAAUGAAGACAUAGUCUGAACCGUUUUGAAAAAAAUGGAAAUAUAAGUGCUUAUUCGCUAUUAAUAGGCAAGUUACAAAGGGAAGCAAUUAAGGCUUAUUUCUUAACUAGUUAAAGCACUAAAGCAGGUUUACUGCUAAAGAUUAAUAAAGUUAAAGCUCUUAUUUAUGUGCUAGAUAUAGCCAGCAACCUUCCUUAUAAUAAAUGCACUUUUAUGAUAACACAUAGAACAGGCUAAUUUGCGCAAGAGUGUACAAAAUGAGUGCGCGGUUUGGCACCUCGAUGUCGGCUUAACUUAUCCUCAUGGAUGCAGGAACUAUGUAGGGUGCGACUGUUCGUCGAUUAAAAAGUUACAUGAGCUGGGUUAAAUACGUCGUGAGACAGUAUGGUUUCUAUCUUCUAGGGGGAAUUAGAAUAUAAUAAGAACUAACUUUUGUACGAAAGGAACAAGAAGAAUUUAAUUUGUAAAAGGGUUAAAUAAUAGUUACUAACCUAUGGUUUACCUGUUGUCUAUGUGCCCAAAUAUUAAAAUAUAUAUGGAGGAAGCUCCUUAAGAGCUUCCCCCGCAAAUUAUAUAUAUCUGUAUAGCUAGCCUGCGGACUCCGGUUAUGCCUGAGUUUGGCAAGCUAAAGCUAUACAUAGGGAUGUUUCUUUCACUAAGAUAAAUAUAUAGCAUAGGCACGGCAGGAAAGCUAAGUUGGUUAAGGAUAAGUGCUGAAAGCAUAUAGGCACGAAGCUUAUCUUAAGAUAUUUCUUAAAUAUACGUAAAAUAUUAUUACGAAGGAUGUAAUAUAGGCUUUAUCCGUACGAAUCAGGAGAUUUUUAAGAAUAAAGUACUAAUUUUAUAA
Molecule: ribosomal RNA, 3449 nt
Filed under: Fusarium oxysporum
Lineage: Eukaryota; Fungi; Ascomycota; Sordariomycetes; Hypocreales; Nectriaceae
Description: 16S ribosomal RNA
Rfam family: Bacterial large subunit ribosomal RNA
Source: RNAcentral